Molecule: unclassified non-coding RNA, 301 nt
Filed under: Hevea brasiliensis (rubber tree)
Lineage: Eukaryota; Viridiplantae; Streptophyta; Magnoliopsida; Malpighiales; Euphorbiaceae
Source: RNAcentral
AAGCAUUAAAUGUGCUAGUGAGAGAUUAUAUUUCUAACCAAAAUUAUCAAAGACAACCAGCACUCCAAUAUGAGAUUAUAUAAUUAUACUAAUUUGACUACGAAAUGACAACUAGUACCUCAUCAUGAUAGCGCAAAUAAAUUAUCUUUUGGUUAGCAAUUAUAUUGAACUUAAUACCUUAGGAAAUGAAAUGCCACACAGUAUGUUAUUAGAUAUGGGGGGUGUGCUAUUUUUAUUACAAAACACGAUUUACAAGAAUAAAUUAUAUUUUGUAUUAAUUUACAUUUAGGAUGUUGGUGCA